AUUGAACGCUGGCGGCAGGCCUAACACAUGCAAGUCGAGCGGAGCGGGCGACGGAGGAGUAAGGGAUAGGAAUGUGCCUGGCAGUGGGGGAUAACGUCCGGAUACGGGCGCUAGUUAAGCAUACUAUCAGAUGGGCCUAGGUCGGGUUAGCUAGCUGGUGGGUUAAGGGACAACCAAGGCGAGGAUGCGUACCUGGUCUGAGAGGAUGAUCAGUCACACUGGAACUGAGACACGGUCCAGACUCCUACGGGAGGCAGCAGUGGGGAGUAGUGGACAAUGGGCGAAAGCCUGAUGCAGCCAUGCCGAGUGUGUGAAGAAGGUCUGCGGAUUGUAAAGCACUUUAAGUUGGGAGGCGUUACCAACAGAAUAAGCACCGGCUAACUUCGUGCCAGCAGCCGCGGUAAUUC
RNAcentral lists this ribosomal RNA (407 nucleotides) under uncultured bacterium. Its description in RNAcentral is "partial 16S ribosomal RNA". It matches the Rfam family "Bacterial small subunit ribosomal RNA", at positions 29 to 526 of the family's 1533-position model. The record is from RNAcentral.